GGGGGGGGCAGGGAAGGAGGGAGAGAGGGAGAGAAAUGUCACCCGUAGCCCGGGCCCGCGGGGGAGAGGUGGCGCGUUAGAGAUGGAGAGAGAGAAAGAGAAAGAUAGAGAGGGGGAGCGAGACCUCCGCCGGCCCCGCGAACUUGUCAAGUAGAAAACACGAAGCCUUUGGUCUCAAAGAACUUAGACCAUCAUGGCUACGAAAACUACUGCUACUCAGAAAGUAUGUAAUUCUGGAGCUCCUUAGUGACGAAAGUAGUGCAAGGCAACAUCAGAGCAGUUGCCAAGUGAUCUUCUCCACAGCAUGCAUGAACUUCAGCCUGGAACUGAAGAGGACUCAUCAAAUGCCUUAGGAAAGACAGCAUGGAGUUGGAAGAGAAGCAGGGAUCUCCACGAAGGGCAGUCAGUUAUACUCUUGGUGUGUGGAGGAACAGGUCCUGUUCUCGCUGUUGUUACUCCCACAUAGGCAGACUGUAAUUGAUUAUGUGUGGGUAGGGCCCUAUUGAAAUUCAGGAGAUUCUGCAGUAGUGCGGGGUUCUUUUUGUGAAAGUUCAGUUGCAAGAUCAGGACCCCACUGUGACUCCUAACUGUGAAUUCUGUCAGUGUAUCAUUGAUUGUGCUGGAACCUGCCUUUUGGGAUAAUUACCAAAUACUAUAUUCCUCAAAACUUCUUAAUGGCACUGAGGCUUUGUGGAUAGUUGGUCACAUGAGAAAAUUCAGCUGGAGUGGGCAUUUGCUGCACAGCUACACAUUGUGUGGACUUGAGAAUACCUCAAGAGCUGAAAUGCUGAACUACAGCAACAGAGCCCAUCAAGACUACUUCUACCUGAUACCUCUCCUUCAAUAUCAAGAGUUUGACUCUGGUUUUGAUCAACAUAGGAUGCCAACUUCCAUCAUUCAAUCAUUACAUUUUCAGACAACACUGGAUAUUUUCUUCUCGACUGCCUCUCAUGUAUUGGUUGACUUCUUCAUAAACAGAAAUGUUCACUAUCUUUCUUUAAAUUUCUUCUUAAAAGUUUUACGUACUGUGAAGCUUAAAACAGUCUCACUAGACAACAGAUAUAUUGCAGGUAUAUUAAUGCCAACACAUAUCACAGUAGUACUGUGUCAUUGCAUUUGUACUCUGCCAUAAUUUCUCUGUUGUCUCUUUAUGUAGAAUUUAAGCACAUCUAUAUUUUGUUUUGUGUUUAUUCAUGGUCCAGCGUAAUGUGAAGUGGUCCAGGGUAAGGCCUUCCAAGAUUUAUGGUAAUACAAAUAAAUAAUAAUGAAUACCUGCUGGAUGCUGUAGUGUAGCUGUUAGAUUCUGUUGUGCCUAAUGUCACAUCAUAUUUAGUGCAGAAAGAAGGUUCUCCAACUAGAGGCCUCACAAAAGGGAAAGAAGUGAGUUGCAGCCAACAGAAAAAAUGCUAGCCUCAGAGGCCUUCUCAGCUGUCAAACUGAAGUCAGUAGCUACUGGCAUUGUAUCCUGAAAGCAUCCCUCUCUUCUCUAUAGCUGUAAGAACAGAUUCUCCCUCCUCAUAUAAGGAAGUAAAUGCAAAUAUCACAAAGUUCUGCAGUGUGUGCAGAAGGUUAAAGGACUUUUUAUACUUCCAUAGCAUCCUUAGUUCGUUCCCUUCCUGACACAGCCUCUCUUGGUACAGAAAUCUUGAAUAACCACAACUGUGCCAUUUGUCAGUCUUUUUUUCAAAUGCCAUUUGAUUUUUUUUGAGAAGAAACUUAGACUAGUUUUUGUUUGGUAUCUUGGCACAUUGCUAUCUCGUAGUGCUCUGUUUUCAUUGUGCCCUGAGGGUAAUGAUUCUUCAGAAGAGUGUUAAGGAUGAAUUCCAUUAGAAAUUCCCCAGGUAUGUCACCCUCUUUCUGUAAGUGGGUCUGCAUGUAACCCUUUCCUUUCUUUCAAAGGGACGAUGAAAUGUCAGAGUAUAGGUCAUACAGAGAUGAUGGAAUGUUUAGUGCCUGGCUGAUACAGAGAUGGUAGAUUAGACUAUGCAGACAAAUGAUGCUGUAUGUACCAAAGAAAUUAUAGUCAAAUAAUUUUAUCAGAAUAAACAAAAAAGCUUAAUUACAAGUGGUUCUGUAGCUGAAUAGGAGAAGUUUAAUAAGAGCUCUGGGCUUGUUGAUGGGAUGGAGACAGUUGCUGUGAAAUACUGUGGGAGACUGGAGAGGCUGUACAACCCAAAAGCUUGAUUGUAGCAAGAGUCCUUGGUUAUAUAUGUACAGACUGGAUAAACUUAACAUUCUGCUACAUUACACCAUCUUGCACAGGCUGUGUAUUUAGAUAUCAUCAAGAACUACUUUUUGGGCAAACAAGCUAGAGAAUCCAGAGGAGGGGGACAGCCCUUGAUUUAGUCAAGAUCAGCACACAACAAAUAGAAGAACCAUUCAGUAGUGAAAUAUCAUAUUCAAGUUUCUCAUACUUGUAGGAGAGAAAAAGAUUAAAAUAAAAAGAAAAAAAGACCCAGUGUUGUGUAAAAAAGAAUUGCAUACUAAUGAAGAUAGUUUAAAUAAAUAUUAAAAAAUUCACAGGGGCUUUGUUUUCUGAGUCUAACCCAGUUGAAUAAGAAUUAUCUUACACAAUUCAACAGUAAAGGAAAUUACUAGAAAUUAAUAGAGCUUUUUGAAAAAGUUAAAAUCCAAGCAAGCAAAGCAGAAAAGAGCACAAUUCUGGCAAGUUAAAUGUAGACCUAUUAUAAGGCAGAACAAAAAGAUUUUGAAAUGCAAUGGGCUAAAAUUCUAAAAGCCAAACUCCAUUUUUUUCAAGUGUAAGUUUUGCUAGUAAGGAGGUAAGUUUAAGAGAUAAUUGUGGUUAGGGAGAAUAUUGAAGACAAAGCCAUCACAGAAAGAAACAACUGAAUUCAUUGCAUUGGCAAGGUUUAUGAUAGAGAUUAGGGGCAUCCCUAUGUAGAAAUCAUUUUUUACAGGGAACAGUUCAGAUUUGAAAUAUCAAUAAAAGAUGUUUUAACAAAUUGAUAGAAUAAACUUUAAUAAAUUGCCAAAUAACAUGUUCAUUCAGUAGUCCUAGAAAAAGUCAGAAAUUAAAUUGAUGAGCCUUGAUAACAGAGGAAUGGAAAGUAACGAAUUUGAUCCUAGUUUUAAAAAGGGCUCUAGUGCUGGUCAUGAACUAAUGGAACUAAAAAAUCUGGCUACCAUGACAGACAAAAUGCCAGUAAAUGUGAUAAAGAAUACAGUUAAUAAGAACAUUGAUAGGUGUAACAGGCGACCAUCGUCUUGGCUUUUCUACAAGUAGUUUUGUCUUAGAGCUUUGCAAGUUAUUUGAAGGAGUCAGCAGAUUCACAGAAAAGAAUGAAAAAGUUUUUAAAAAGUUCUGUAACCAAAAACUGUUAACAAAAUGAAGUAUAGAGUCACUUAAAAUUCUUUCAGUAAAGUGUUAGAAGAUAAGGAACAGUAUAGUGACUAAUGGGCAGUUUUCACAUUGCCACCUCACAAAAGUUUGUACUGGCACUUUUGCUGGUCCACCUGUUCCUAAACAGUCUGAAAAAGUGAUAAAGAUUGCAGGUGAUAAAAGGAAAAUAUUCACAGUUGGAGUGAGACCUAUUGUUGACCCUGAAGGAUCUCACAGCAGGAUCUGUGGUGAUCCAGGAGCCUUGGCUGUCAGAGCGGCCAGAUAUUGCUGACCCCACUGUUCAGCCAUAUCUAUCAUCAGAGAGAGGCAGUGGCUGUUGGAUUACAGCAGCCAUCACACCGUAAACUGUGAGCUCAGCAGGCUGUGACCAGUUCUGCCACUCAGGAAGGCAGGCACUUGUAGCUGUUCUUUCUAACAGCAGGGGCUGCAAAUUGGAGAGAAGAUUCUUUCUCCCUGUUUCUUAGGGUUUCACAGCCUCAAUGAGCCUAAAGUACAGGUUUUGAACCUGAAGUUCCUGCCUGCCACAGGGUUGGAAUAUCACUCUUAGUGAUCAGGAAUAUCUUGCUGCUGUGAGAUGCCAGGGCUCUCAAGUCACCUUACUGGUGUUUGCACAUAUUUUAGCAGCUCUGGAUACUUUUUUUUUUGCUACUGAAAAUUUUCCAGCAUCAUAAAAUAUUUGUAUUUUAGUUGCCCUUGACAUACCUUAAUUCCUGUUGACCUGAGUGUCAUACAAGCACAUCCGUAAGUAAUUUGUAGAGAUGUUAUCUUUUCUAACACACUGUGCAUAUUUAUGUUAGGAAUUAUGGUGGUGUCAAAUUUUAGGCACACCAAAUUAUAAGCCAUAUUCAAAUGGUUUAAAUAUGUUUAUCUUGAAGAAAUAAUUUAUCUAAAACUAUUAUGGUGUAUUUUAUGAAAUUUAAAAAAAUACUGGAAAACAAUGUUAUUGACAGUAGUGUUUUAAAAGGGACUAAAGAAAGGUGCAGGUGAGCAUGUUCUGUUUAACUUUUGUGUUCCAUAUUUCUUACUCUUGUAUUGAUACAUAUAUGUAAUGAGGUGAUUUGUGCAUGUUUUGUAUUAUCUUCCCAAAUACCUGUUGCUAACUUAUAUGAUUCUGAAGUUGUCUUUGCUCAGACUUGAGCUACUAGGUGAAUAUGAGAUGAAGAGGAAUCUUUAUCUUGUGUCAGAAAGGAACAUGUAAGGGAGGAGACAGUGACUUCUGCUAUAGUGUAGAAAAAGGUGAUUUCCUGGUGUCAUCCGUGAGUGACGAAAGAGGGAUUAAUGAGACUAGACAAGGCAUAUGGGUACAGAAGCAGUGAUGAUGUGCAUUGAUAGGUCUGGGGAUUAGUGUAUGUGAAUGAAGAAUUUGGAAUAGGUAUCAGAAAAGGAGUUUCUGUAAGAGGCGGAAAGAUCACAGUUGGAUAAAUAUACUGGGAUCAGUUGGAAGUCACUUUACUACAAAGCAUGGUUACAGCUCUCUAACUGACUCUUGCUCACUCCACACCUGCCCUAAUUAUACCCUUCCCCAUGUCUUCUGGAACCUCACCUUCUUUUCCAGUUCCUGCACAUGACCCUUUUAAGUGGAAAACCUCCUUUUCUGCUUACUCCAGGAACAGUUACACACAAAGGUUCAGAUGAUCCUGUAAAUCUCUCCUAACUAAAGCUUCUCUUCUGUCCCACUAUACUUCUGCCUCCUGCGUAUGGGGUUCCACACUGCAGAUGCAAACAGACAAAUGAAUCAUAGAACAGAAUCAUAGAAUCAUUUAGGUUGGAAAAGGCCCUUAAGGUCAUCAAGUUAACUAUAAACCUAGCAGUAUGAAGUCCACCCUAAACUGUCUCUCUAAGCGCCAUGUCUACAUAUCUUUUAAAUUCCCUGGGCAACCUGUUCCAGUGCUUGACAACUCUUUCAUUGCCCUUCUCUGGUGCUCCAGCACCUCAAUGUCUGUCUCGUAACAAGAAGCCCCAAACACAUUAUUGGUGGUGUAGCCUCACCACUGAAUACAAAGGGAUCCAAAUGAGAUGCUGUGGAAGUGCUGGGUGAAAAAAUAAUGCUUCUCCUUUCCAGCAUACAGUUUGCACCUUCUUCAAGUGGGACAUGUCCCAUCAUUUGAAGUCUGCUGAUCAAAAAUUAAGUAAUUCGUUGCUUUUCCUCUCUUCAUGUAACACUCAUAAGAAUGUGAUGAUUUUUUUUUUCCACAUGGUGAGUUAUGACUUUUAGAUAAUGUUUGUCUUACUAGACAGCAGAAAAAAAAUCUCAGGUUUCUAAACCUUGGUCCCUUUGACUUACAUUUUUCUGUGAUCUAUGACCUUCCUAAAAAUAAAUGAAUAAUUUCAGUGGAUUAUUGCACCUACUGGCAAUAAAUUGAAGCUUAUGAACAGUAUGGUUGCUUUUCUUAAUUAUUACUUUGCUGAUCCCUAGAAAGUUGUUCAUGAAGACUAAAGAGUCAGCAGAAAUAUUGAAAGCAAUGUGAUAGGGCAUCCCCUUAAAUGCAUGCGUUUUUUUUAAAUGCAGUGGGGUUUUUUUGUCACAGAUAUUUUAAUAAGUUUUAAGCUUUUAUUUGACAGUUUUGCUUCUUAAUAUUGAUUAUGGUUGCACAUUUAUGUCUAUGACUAAACUUAACUAACAAGAUGCAUGAUUUCUGCUAGAGCUUAAAAUUCAGAAAUUAAUAAUCCUUUCAGCAUGUGACCAUACGAAUAGAUUAUGUACCAAGAUAGAAUCAUAGAAUAGAUUGGGUUGGAAAAGACCUCCAAGAUCAUCAAGUCCAAGCCCUGAUCCAACUCCAAUUACUAUAUCAUGGCACUAAGGGCCACGUCCAAUCUCUUUUUAAAAACCUCCAGGGAUGGUGAAUCCACCACCUCUCUGGGUAGGCCGUUCCAAUGCCUGAUAACCCUCUCUGUAAAGAAUUUCUUCCUA
Molecule: long non-coding RNA, 6272 nt
Organism: Lepidothrix coronata (blue-crowned manakin)
Lineage: Eukaryota; Metazoa; Chordata; Aves; Passeriformes; Pipridae
Exons: 8
Source: RefSeq, a predicted model, not a curated record